UCUAAUAUGGCAGAACCAGUGCAGUAGAUUUAAGAUUUACAUAUAAAGAAAUUACUUCAAAAAUCUUUUAUUAGAA
RNAcentral lists this transfer RNA (76 nucleotides) under Pseudoglomeris angustifolia. RNAcentral describes it as "tRNA-Leu". The record is from RNAcentral. Lineage: Eukaryota; Metazoa; Arthropoda; Insecta; Blattodea; Blaberidae.